AUGGGAUGCUUAUCUAUUCUGACCUGAAAAGGAGUUUCUCCACUAUAUGACUAGUCUAAUUAACCACUUAGUAGAAAAGAAACGUUCUUUGAAAGCCAUCAAAGAAUAUAUUUACAAAGUUGGAAGACAGAUAACACAACCUAUCUCUGAACUCAUCUCUCUCUAUAAUCUCUGUGAAAUAUCAGAGACGCCAACAAUGAUUAAGUUCAAAAGACUUAUUAUUGAAAAAAGGCACAAGAAAUUUUAAAUUCUAAACUCCAAGAACAUAUCUAUAAAAAAGCUACUCAGCCUGAUGAGUCAAAGAAACUCUUUGAAGAUAUACAAUUAUUCUUAGACAACUAGACCUAUCCCAAGCUCUUUCUACCACUGAUAAAUAUACUGACUAGACCAGAAGAAAUCAGAGCUUUAUAUAAAGGGCUUGUGAAGCUGAUAUUAAUAGACUGUGCCAUGCCAUAUGAUAUGUUUCUUUCCAUUGUUGUUACCACAC
This 487-nucleotide long non-coding RNA is filed under the name Elaeis guineensis (African oil palm). RNAcentral describes it as "long non-coding RNA (EGUI_LNC056560)". The record is from RNAcentral. Lineage: Eukaryota; Viridiplantae; Streptophyta; Magnoliopsida; Arecales; Arecaceae.